This 531-nucleotide ribosomal RNA is filed under the name Megalobrachium sinuimanus. Its description in RNAcentral is "partial large subunit ribosomal RNA". It matches the Rfam family "Bacterial large subunit ribosomal RNA", at positions 1831 to 2608 of the family's 2925-position model. The record is from RNAcentral. Lineage: Eukaryota; Metazoa; Arthropoda; Malacostraca; Decapoda; Porcellanidae.
GUCUGUAUGAAGUUAAAUGGAGUCUGUUCUGCCCAUUGAGAAUAAAAUGUCUUAAAAGGCCGCGGUAUACUAACUGUGCAAAGGUAGCAUAAUCAGUAGUUUUUUAAUUGAAGGCUUGUAUGAAUGAUUGGACAAGGGUGAAACUGUCUUUUUUCAAAAGAUUGAAUUUAAUUUUUAAGUGAAAAAGCUUAAAUAAAUCAGAGGGACGAUAAGACCCUAUAAAUCUUUAUGUUAAGAUUUUUGUGAAGAAAAUAUUGUAAAGUAGAGAAAGUCGCAAGAAUAAAAACAUUUGGCUGGGGUGGCAAUGAUAUAGAAAUAACUAUAAAUACAAAAAUAACAAACAUAUUUGGAAUUAAAAGAUCCUAAUUAUGGAGUAAGAGUUAAAGUUACUUUAGGGAUAACAGCAUAAUUUCUUUGGAGAGUUCAAAUCGAAAAAGAAGUUUGUGACCUCGAUGUUGAAUUAAAAGAUCUCUGAGGUGCAGAAGUUUCAGGGGAGAGUCUGUUCGACUUUUAAAUUUUUACAUGAUUUGA